This 253-nucleotide ribosomal RNA is filed under the name uncultured bacterium. RNAcentral's name for it is "partial 16S ribosomal RNA". It matches the Rfam family "Bacterial small subunit ribosomal RNA", at positions 524 to 776 of the family's 1533-position model. The record is from RNAcentral.
UACAGAGGUCCCGAGCGUUGUUCGGAUUCACUGGGCGUAAAGGGUGCGUAGGUGGCGAAGUAAGUCGGAUGUGAAAUCUCGGAGCUUAACUCCGAAACGGCAUUGGAAACUACUUUGCUAGAGGUUUGGAGGGGGGACUGGAAUGCUUGGUGUAGCAGUGAAAUGCGCAGAUAUCAGGAGGAACACCGAUGGCGAAGGCAGGUCUCUGGGCAUUAACUGACGCUGAGGAGCGAAAGCAUGGGGAGCGAACAGG